This 237-nucleotide ribosomal RNA is filed under the name uncultured Verminephrobacter sp. RNAcentral describes it as "partial 16S ribosomal RNA". It matches the Rfam family "Bacterial small subunit ribosomal RNA", at positions 1144 to 1382 of the family's 1533-position model. Lineage: Bacteria; Pseudomonadati; Pseudomonadota; Betaproteobacteria; Burkholderiales; Comamonadaceae. The record is from RNAcentral.
UGGGACUGCCGGUGACAACCGGAGGAAGUGGGAUGACGUCAAGUCCUCAUGGCCCUUAUAGGUGGGGCUACACACGUCAUACAAUGGCCGGUACAGAGGGUAGCCAACCCGCGAGGGGGAGCCAAUCCCAACAAAGCCGGUCGUAGUCCGGAUCGCAGUCUGCAACUCGACUGCGUGAAGUCGGAAUCGCUAGUAAUCGCGGAUCAGCAUGUCGCGGUGAAUACGUUCCCGGGUCUU